Molecule: ribosomal RNA, 1555 nt
Filed under: Condylostoma minutum
Lineage: Eukaryota; Ciliophora; Heterotrichea; Heterotrichida; Condylostomatidae
Description: partial 28S ribosomal RNA
Rfam family: Eukaryotic large subunit ribosomal RNA
Source: RNAcentral
AGCGGAGGAAAAGAAACUAACUAGGAUUGCCCCAGUAACGGCGAGUGAAGCGGCAACAGCCCACACUGAAAAUCGCUUCGGCGAGUUGUACAGUGCAGACGUGAACCUCGCACUUUGCGACCUUUGUAACUUCCUUGGAAUAGGAGACCGGAGAGGGUUAUAGUCCCGUAACAGAGGCUGCAAGGUGACAGGCCGCGUUUAAAGAGUCGGGUAGUUUGGGAUUGCUGCCCUAAGUGGGAGGUAGACUCCUCCUAAGGCUAAAUACUAGCGAGAGACCGAUAGUGGACAAGUACUGUGAAGGAAAGAUGAAAAGAACUUUGGAAAGAGAGUUAAAAGACUUGAAACCGCUAAGGAGGAAGCAGUCUGCCGAGCAUAGCCCCAGAAUGAGAAACAAGCGGUGCUCUGAGUGAGCUCGUAAAAUAAAUCAUCUGGAGUGCUCGGUAUACUGGCCCGUCUUGAAACACGGACCAAGGAGUCCAGCCUAUGUGCAAGUACAAAGAGGAUAACUCUAGAUGCGCAACGAAAGUAAUCUCUGUAGCAGCAGAGGCCGCGAUAGCGAGCUCAGCAGAUAGGCUGGGACCCGAAAGAUGGUGAACUAUGCUUGGGAAAGGCGAAGCCAGGGGAAACUCUGGUGGAGGCUUGUAGAGGUACUGACGUGCAAAUCGUUCUUCUGACCUGAGUAUAGGGGCGAAAGACUUAUCGAACCAUCUAGUAGCUGGUUCCCUCCGAAAUUUCCCUCAGGAUAGCAAGAGCAGAGCAGUUUUACCGGGUAAAGCGAAUGAUUAGAGGUUCGGGGGUUGAAAUGACCUUCACCUAUUCUCAAACUUUAAAUUGGUAAGAUGAGGCCGUUACUUAAGUGAACAGCUUCUUGAAUGCAUAGCUCUUAGUGGGCCAUUUUUGGUAAGCAGAACUGGCAACGAGGGGUCAACCUAAGGAAGGGUUGAGGCGACAAAUUGACUGCUUCUAGAUGGAAAGGUGUUGGUUCAUUUAGACAGUAGGACGGUGGCCAUGGAAGUCGGAAUCCGCUAAGGAGUGUGUAACAACUCACCUACCGAAUGGACUAGCCCUGAAAAUGGAUGUCGCUAAGCAGUUAGCCGAUACCCUUCGGUCGGGCUAGAGGAGGCCAGACCAGUAGGAGGGCGUGGGGAUAGCGCAGAAGUGCAAGUGUGAAGUUGCAUGGAGCUGUUCCUAGUGCAGAUCUUGGUGGUAGUAGCAGCUAUUCAAGCAAGACCCUUGAAGACUGAAGUGGAGAAGGGUUUCAUGAGAACAACAAUUGGUCAUGAGGUACUCGGUCCUAAGGCACUCAACGCCGAAAGGGAAAAAGGUUAAUAUUCCUUUAGCUAUCAAGAGGUCAAAUGGCAACAUAAACGAGCUCAGAAACGUCGGAGUGAAAUCCCAGGGAGAGUUCUCUUUUCUUCUUAACAAGUCGCUGCCCUGGAGGUUGUUAGAACGAGAGAGGGCUAUAGACUUGGCAGAGCAGUGCACCCUUUGCGCUGUCUGGUGCAUUUCCUUCGGCCCUUGAAAAUCUGAGGGAACGCUGAUCGCUGAUUGCAAG